This 255-nucleotide ribosomal RNA is filed under the name uncultured bacterium. RNAcentral's name for it is "partial 16S ribosomal RNA". It matches the Rfam family "Bacterial small subunit ribosomal RNA", at positions 523 to 776 of the family's 1533-position model. The record is from RNAcentral.
CUACGGGGGGAGCAAGCGUUGUUCGGAUUUACUGGGCGUAAAGGGCGCGUAGGCGGUCGUGACAAGUCACUUGUGAAAUCUCCGGGCUUAACUCGGAACGGUCAAGUGAUACUGUCGGACUAGAGUACAGAAGGGGCAACUGGAAUUCUCGGUGUAGCGGUGAAAUGCGUAGAUAUCGAGAAGAACACCAGUGGCGAAGGCGCUCACUGGCCCGGUACUGGACGCUGAGGCGCGAAAGCCAGGGGAGCGAACGGG